UGCAGCCGCGGUAAUUCCAGCUCCAAUAGCGUAUAUUAAAGUUGUUGCAGUUAAAAAGCUCGUAGUUGAAUUUCGGGAUCAGUACGCUGGUCGUGCCUUUGGUAUGUACUGGUGUCACUGAUUCCUCCCUUCUGAAGAACCGUUAUGCCAUUUAUUUGGUGUGGCGGGGAAUCAGGACUGUUACUUUGAAAAAUUAGAGUGUUUAAAGCAGGCUCGCGCUUGAAUACAUUAGCAUGGAAUAAUGAAAUAGGACGUUUGAUCUUAUUUUGUUGGUUUCUAGGAUCGACGUAAUGAUUAAUAGGGAUAGUUGGGGACAUUAGUAUUCAAUUGUCAGAGGUGAAAUUCUUGGAUUUAUUGAAGACUAACUACUGCGAAAGCAUUUGCCAAGGAUGUUUUCAUUAAUCAAGAACGAAAGUUAGGGGAUCGAAGACGAUCAGAUACCGUCGUAGUCUUAACCAUAAACUAUGCCGACUAGGGAUCGGAUGAUGUUAAUUUUUUAAUGUACUCAUUCGGCGUACCC
Molecule: ribosomal RNA, 520 nt
Filed under: uncultured Glomus
Lineage: Eukaryota; Fungi; Glomeromycota; Glomeromycetes; Glomerales; Glomeraceae
Description: SSU rRNA
Rfam family: Eukaryotic small subunit ribosomal RNA
Source: RNAcentral